UGGCUACAAUGUAGCUUGCCAUCACCAGUGUGUGAAUGGGUGGAUGACUGGAUGUGUCAAGUGCUUUGGGGUCCUUAGGGACUAGUAAAGCGCUAUACAAAUACAGGCCAUUUACCACUCUCUACUAUGAUGUCCAGAAACCCGUCACACUUACAUGUGAUGCCUCACAGUACCGGCUUGGAGCUGCGUGCCUUCAGGAAGGUGCUCCGAUCACCUACUCCUCUUGUACACAGACUGAGAUCCGCACAGCAAGAAAGAGCUUCUUCCUGUUGUCUUUGCAUGUUCCAAAUUCAAUGAUUAUAUCUGUGGAAAGCAGAUCCAGAUCAAAACUUAUCAUCAGCCAUUAGUCACAAUCCCACAUAUUCUAAAUAAAAUGAUGGUUUCUACAGCCGACCUUUACAUAGAGGAAAUGGAAACUAAAGCUCUUGGCUUUUUCCAAAGGAUAGCACGCAGCCACUGGUACAGAUAUGUGGAUGACACAGUCUGAAUCAAAACCUUUCACCAAACAUGUUAGCUCAGUGGACAGAAACAUACAGUUCACCAAGGAAGAUACAAAGGAUAAUAGUUUGCUGUUUCUGGACUGUGCUGUGCGCACUGAGGAUGGAAACCUCGGCAUUGAAGUUUACUGGAAACCCACACACAGACCAGUACCUUAUUUGACUCCCACCACCAUCUGGAACACAGAUGCGGGGUGAUCAAGGCCCUUGUGUGGAAAUUUUAACACUAACCUGCAACACACCCAAUGAGCAUUUUGAAGAGGGUGUCUGACAUUUGGCCACCGCCCUAACAUCUUUACAUACACAGACAAAGAACAUUCCACAAACUCUUACAUGUUGGGUUUCCGGUUCCACCCUCUCUCGCGAUGGCCGCAUAGAGACACCAGUCCUCCGAUAAAGAAAGCAAUAUAUCCUGCAAAUUGAGAUUCAAAACCUGCUCGAUGGUAAAGACACUCCAAAAGCAGGAUAGCAAUGGAAACAAGGGGAAAAAGCAAGAAAAACCUAACGCAAUUGAACGAAAUGGAUGAUGACUCGCGGGGUCCGCUGGGCAGUGGCUAUGCUAAGGAUAACACGAGGCAGACACCCAGCGAACCCACUAGGGUAAAUAUGGAGAUAAUCUUGCAAGAAAUUCAAGAAUUCCGAAAGGAGAACAACACUCAGCUGGAAGACAUAAAAGGCGAAAUUCAUAAGAGUAACAGGAGAAUCGGAGAGGUGGAAAACCGCAUUGAAGCUGCCGAAACCAGAGUUCAAAUACUGAAACAGGUGUUGAAACACGUCAAAGCUCAAGCUCAACACAAUGAGAAACUCGUGGACCAAGAGGGGAGAGCCAGGAGAGAUAACUUAAGGAUAUAUAAUGUCCCAGAAAAUGAAGAGGGGGAUUUGAUGAUAAGUUUUGUGGAGAAACUCAUCAGAGAAAACCUGGACAUCCCACCGGGCACUGAGGUGCACAUUGAAAGGGCACACAGAGCGCUUGCUCCCAAACCUGCCUCCUCUGAGCGACCCAGAUCGAUAGUGAUCAAAUUUCACCACUACAAAACAAAAGAGGAUAUUCUAAGUAAAGCGUGGAUUAAGAAGGACAUAGUGAUAAAAAAUCUGAGGAUUUAUUUCGACCAUGAUUAUCCAACAGCGGUGCUGAAUAAACGAAAAGAAUACAACGAAGUGAAGUGGGCGCUGAAGGAGAAUAAAAUCCUGUGCCAGACACCGUAUCCGGCCAGGCUCCGGGUUUUCUAUGAGGAGGGGACAAGGUUUUACCACUCAGCUGAAGAGGCCACAAAAGAUCUGAAGGACUGCGGAUUCCCAGUCAAAGUCAUCCCCCAAGCUCCAGGUCUACUGAAGGAAAUCUCCCGAGUAAAAACAAAAAUAAUAUUAGAAAAGGAAGCUGCAGGCAAAAGGUAUGGAUCUGUUUUCCACUCCGUUCCCUCCCCCUCACCCCUUGACCUUGCUAAAGCAUUAUAAGACGACCAAAAUGUUUUUCUCUUUGCUCCCUUUCUGAGUAGAAAAAACCUUUACCUCGGAGGACAUUUCCUUUCUUUUUUCUUUUAUUAACAUGAACAAUUUUUUUCAAUGGACUAAAACACCAUGGAGGGCCCUUCCUUUGCAAAAGUGCAGAGGGGACCUCCCUCCAAUGCCAGACAGUCCAUCUGGCAAGCCAAAGGGACUGUUUAUAAACACCCCUAUUUUGGAAACCACUGUUUGGCAAAUACAUGUUCCCCAAAAGAGUUCUUGUUUCAUUCUCCAAAGUUACUUUCCUUUAGUUAGUAGGGCACUGUUUCCAGAGAGGCUGAAUGUAGCAGAGUCACUGUUUCUUGCUAGAUAUGGUACAUGAAAGACUAAAAAAUUUUUCCUUCAAUGUCAAUGGAAUACUCAACCCUAUCAAACGCUUUAAGAUUUUAUCUAAGAUGAAAAAAGAGAGGGCUGAUAUUGUAUAUUUACAAGAGACGCAUCUAGACAACACAGAACAUAAAAAAAUACAAAGGAUGGGUUUCACUAAGGUGUUUUUCUCAUCACAUAAAUCAAAGCACAAGAGGGGAGUUGCAAUUUUGAUAUCUAACAGUGUUUCUUUUGAAAAAAUGUAUGAAGAGAAAGAUGAGGAAGGUAGAUAUAUUUUGGUCAGGGGAAUGAUAGAAGGAUCUGUUUUCACCCUGAUCAGUGUAUAUAUUCCACCUGGUAGCACUUUUUCUUUUUACAAGAAAAUAAUAGAGUUGAUGAUUACUCAGUCUAAAGGAUUCUUGGUCUGUGGAGGUGAUCUGAAUAUACAUUUAACCCCAAAACUUGAUAUAUCAAAACAAACAGGCUCCAACAAAACAAGUGGUAAAAAAGUGAAAGAGCUGAUGAAGGACAUGGGUUUUAUUGAUAUAUGGAGGGAAAUGGGUCAAAGAGGAUCUUACAAAAUGGAAUCUAUCCCAUGUCUGAGCAUAAGCUCUAGAAUAGAAACCAUCAAAAUUAAUGUUUUACCAAGAUUUCUAUAUCUGUUUCAGACCCUCCCACUCCAGAUUAAUCAAAAAGACUUCAUUGAAUACUAUACUUCAGCAAUGAUUAGGGCCGUGUUGCACUGGUGCGAUCCCUCAUAUAUAGCAGCAUGGAAGGAAAUUGAAAGCAAAACAAUAUCCAAUUUGCAUAUACAGGCAGUCCUAGCGGAUAAAAAUCUACAGGACUACAUUUCCAAAAUAAGAAAUCCCUUGGUAAAGGCCACACUAGGGGUCUGGAAAAUGGUGGUAAAAAAAAAUUAGCUGGAGAAGGAUAUAAAAAUAUUAAAAUGGUGUGCAUACGAUUUGGAAUUUACACCAAAUCAAAUGGACCCUAGUUUUAAAAACUGGAUAGAUAAAGGAAUUACAUCGAUAUGUGGUAUAGUAAAGGAGGAUGAAAUCAUGAGUUUUCAAACUUUAAAGCAAAUGUUUCAUUUAGAAAACCAGGACCACUAUAGAUACCUGCAGUUAAGAAACUUCUACACCCGAAGCAUCAAAAACCAAACACACACUACAGCGAGGCCAACUCUUAUCCAACUCUUUGUAAAUGCUUAUAAGUCAGAAACUAAGAAAGGUAAUCUCACAAAUAUACAAAAGUCUUCAUGAUCUCAGCAAUUAUUCAACAAAGUAUAUAAAAGAAAGAUGGGAGAAAGAGGGAGGUCAGGCAAUUACAGAAGAGGAAUGGCAGAACAUCUGUUCUUUUCAUUGGAAGUACAAAAUCACAUGUAUGGAAGGAAUUCUGCUGGAAAAGUUUCGCUGGUUUUUUCAUCACCCCAGCUAUAAAGGCGCAUUAUGAUGAAGGAAGUUGUGAAUGUUGGAGGAACUAUGGCUACGAAACAGCACACCACUACCAUAUAUUUUUGGGAUUGUAAGAAUAUUAAGAACUAUUGGAGAGAAGUCCAUAAAGUGCUGCAAAACAUAUUUGGUACAUAUUUACCCUUUGAUUUUAAAUCCAUAUUUUUGGGGUACAUACCCUCAGACAUAAAGGGUAUAGAUAAAUACUUACCUGAUGUGAUGCUGGCUGCAAGUAAAAAGGCACUGACUAAAAGAUGGCUGACACAGGAUCCACCAACAUUAAAGAGCUGGAUUGAUGUAACUUUUGAAAUUUACAAGAUGGAAAAGAUUACAUUUUUAGUGAAUUUUGAGUAUGAGAAAUUUGUAAAACACUGGGGAAAAUGGCUCCGCUAUAUGAGUCCUAUAAGGCCAGAUAUCGCUGAUAUUCAUCAUUGAAGGAAUGGUUGGGUAAAUUUUUGUUUGCUUAUUUUGUUUUUGAUAAUAACAUGUACUAAUGCUAUGUCACCAUCUGCUACUGAAAGUGUUGGCUUUUCAGUUGCCCCCUCUCUGGAUGUAUAUAGUUACAUACUAUAUCUGUCUGUACGUAUGUUUCUUUGUUUGUGUGUUUUGUUUUGUUUUCUCUUCUUUUUCUUUAUUUUUUUUCAUACUUAUGUGUAGAAAAAGAACUUGAAGUGAUGGCGGUCAUCCAGACUACUGUAUAUAUGAGUCUAAGAACAAAGGAAGCCAUCAAAUACUGUACAUUUCAUUUUAUUUUUUGCAUAACUUCAAUAAACAACUGAAUUUUAAAAAAAAAACUCUUACAUGUUGGCCCAUCUUGGGGGGGCUUUACCUUCAGCCCCAUCCUUAAAACCUCCCAAUUAUGACCUUGUUUUCUGCUUGGCCGUCACCUAAAGAUUUGCAUCCCUGAUGUAAAAGAAACUCCAACCAGGGAAAAAUGACAAACUGAACAACAUCAUCAUUCCUUGUGUAAAUGCUUUGUCAGAGAAACUCAGGUGAAUUUGAGCAUGAAAUCCCAGUGCACCUCAGACUAAGCCACACCCUCAACCAAAACCGCCAAAAUCAUCUAAGCCACACAGUGUUUGCUGUGCAGUGCAUCAAGAAGUGCUCAGACCUCUACACUGGAAAAAUCAAAGGUCAAAAGUCACUCUUUCAAAGAUGAAGCAUGCAAGGUUUGAAAGAGGAGUAAAAGAUCUACGUCCACUAUGAACGCCCAUCAUUGAAAAGAAGGGGUGGUCUACAGCACCAUCUAUCAGCCACAUAUGGUGUAGUCUCAAUGCAGUCUAAAGAUUCCUUCUCAGGCAUUUCAACCUCCACUCAAACCUUGACGCCUACCACCAGACCUCAAUAGUUCACAUGAUUGGGUGGGGCAAGGUUUCACAAUGGUUUCAACUGUAACUUGCAGCAAUGGUAAUGACCCACACCUUCUUUUCAUUGGCUCAUGUGAUGACUUACCUGACUUAACCUUCACCUGGGGUUACAUACCGGGGUUUUAGAAAUGAAGAAGCCUCUUGGAUGAGAGGUGAAAGAAAUCCAGCUGGUAUGUUCAAGCUCUGUAGAUUACAUGAUCUUGAUGACUGAGAUGCUACACAGACAUAUUUCUGUAGCCUUUCUUCCCGUUCAUGCUGGAGAUCAAACAAAUCCAAUGCUGCCCUCAUGUUUAAAACAUCAGUUUUGAGAGAAGCGUAAUUUUCAUUACAUGGCCUGCCAGCCUUUAGUGUGAUUGAUUAGUGAAAAUGAUUAUAGAUCUCAGUUAAAAUAAGUGGCUCCAAGAUAUUCAUGGUGGAUGCUUAUGACUCUCUGAGUAUGAUCAAAUAAGUAGACUCAAAAUAAUUACUCUUUGACAGUUGAAGUUGAGAAUGCUAACAAUAUUUUCUGACUGAAUUCCCAAUCAGAAAAGACUGGUACUGCUUUACAUUCCUUCUGAGCUAUUUUUCAAAGGUAGCGAGAUACAUACACAAUAUAACACCAGUGAGAAUUGGAACUCCAGGUCUCACCUGGCCCAGCGAGUCGAUUCAGCACUGCCUUAAUGCAGCUAAGUGAAAGCUGCAAACCAUUCCUUAUUAUUGCCAUUGUAGACGGGUAUUUAUAAGGUCUAGCAUUUUUCUUUGAGUACUUUAACUGAAUACUCAAAAAACGUUUUAAUAAGCACACACUUGCAGCGCUUCAGUCUAUGACAAACUGUCGUGCACGCCAUUCUAUAUUGAGGCUUGUGUCUUUGAGCUCAGGUACUUUGUCACAUUUUAACAAACCAGGUGAAAUAAUCUUUGGUGUAAAGGCCACUGCAUCAGAGCAACACUUUGACAGAUGAGGGAGAAUAACAAGCAAGCAAAGCACGUCCCAGGUGGUGGCGGGCAUGAGAGUUGGGAUAGAGUCCCAGCUAAUAUUGUUAUUAUCAAACUUUAAUUUUUGUCUUUCACCUUCCAUCUUUAAAAUAUGUUUAUGAUCUUUGUUUUGCAGCAGUUUCUUAAACGACUGUACAUUUAUACUGCAUUUUAAUAAAAGCUCAUUCUUCCUACUUCCUUUUAUGUAGUUACGGCAGAGUCUAUGCAACCGCAGACCCCUAUCACCACACGAUUGGUCCUGCAGCCACAUACAGUGUGGGCACUAUGUAAAUAAACGAAACAGUGAGUACAGAUGGACACCUGCUAAAAAAAGAGAGAAGAUCACCGUGGACACAGAAGGACACUAACAGAGAUCAACUAAAAGAAAAAAAUGGCCUUCUGUCAAGAAUUAAAGGGAUGGACAAAAGGCCUGCUUUGUAAGGCCAGGACCUGGACCACUGAGUCUGUAGCCUGGGAGCAGAGAGGAGCCUACCAGCUCUAACUCCUGAAAAACAAGCCUUGCUGAGUGUUAGAGACCAAAUAGGAAGGUCACUAUAAAACAUUUUUAUUUUUGUAAACUUUUUUAAGUUUAUGGCUUCUGAAAAGAUCAAACAUCACUCUGUGUAUAUACAUAUUAGAUACCAUAUGUGUGUAUUAUAUAAGUAUGUUUAAAAAACAGAAACUGUGUGUGCAGUUCAAAGGUAAGAUGAGGAGAUGCCAGCUCCCCGUGAUUUCUGAAGGUCAGCCACCACGCCCCACAUGCCUUCUGCUGGAUGAGGUGGGGAUGUGUGUGUGUGUGUGUGUGUGUGUGUGUGUGUGUGUGUGUGCGCGCGCGCAUGUGUGUAGGUGUGUGGGGCAGCUGGUCCAGCAGGCCUGUCACUACAUAAUGAGAUUAAAGCUUUUUGAGCCUGUCUUCCACUAAUAACGUCUGUAUCAGUCAGAAAAUCUGCCUUUUAAAUCCAAAAGUACACACAGAUAAGAAAGAAGGGUUAGGGUUUACUCUACAAGCUCAACUCAAGUUACAGAGAGGUGGGAACAUUAAUAACAGGCUGCCUGAUGUCACCACAGUCUGGUGGUUUUACUGUGCCGUGUAGUAAAAACAGCUCUUGUGCAUUGUGUUGGCAUAGGCAGGGUAGGACUGGGGGGACAGAGAGUGGGUAAAAAAUGAAAAGUGGAAAUGAUGAUCUGCUACAACACAGCCUUCAGCUUCCACCACUAAGAAAGGAAUAAGAGAGUUAAAGCAAUUCAAAGUUACACAAUGACAGCAAGUCUGUGUAAACCCAUCUGUUCCUAUGGAUUCCUACUGACAUCCUUCUAUAUUUACACAUUGUACUAAUAACAUGCUGUCAGCCAUGAUGCAGAGUCAGCUGUUGCCAUCUACUAUUGUUGUAGUCAUUGUACUAGCAGUAAGAAGAAAGUAUUUAUAUAUAAAUAUACCCAUUUGUGAUCUCCACCUGGACAUACGUUUGAUUUUUCAGCUUUGACGCAGGACUUGGUGUAAGUGUAAUGAUGUGUCGUUCUUUCAUGUCAUUUCGUUUCUCUUUUGUUCAGCUACUGAAUGUAACUUAAACUUUUUAGGCAGAUGGUGUUUUUUAUGUGCUUCAAAAGAACAAACAGUAUUCUGUAUAUUUAUUACACGUGUAAAUUAUAUAGUAACAUGUUUGUGAUAAUAUGCUGGACCUCCUCCUCACGAUCACGUCAUGUCCAAAAGGAAAUAAUAAGAAGUGAACAGACAUGUCCUGCUGUAGAGUGAAGUACUACAGAGAGUUUUAGUUGUUUGGUUUGUUUGUCUUUGUGUAGCUGAAUCGUAGUGUCAUCGUGGUGCUGAGGGUAAUGCUGUGGUGAGGAACAGGACAACAAAGAAAACACGAGACCAGUCUGAGGUGGGGAAACAUGUAGGAGUGUGUCCUGUUGGAAAUGGAGACGCUCUGCUGCAGGACGCUAACAUGCACUUGUUUGAUUUGUGGGUCGUACUAAGCAUGUGAUGGUGUUUUACCACAUUUAUGGAUACGAUGACAUUGAAACCUUUACAUCUUUAUUUUAAUUCAGAGGAGGAUUCGAGUCUCACUGCACUAUUACUUCACUGCAUAGCACUUGGUAAUGUAUGUAACAUGGUUUAUAAGACUAAGCGAUCCCACGGACAGUACAUCAGUUUAUAAAGUGAUGGAGGUGUUACAUGGAAACAACUGAAAGGCCACAGUAAUCUAGCUCAGUGUAACAGAACGAAGGCAACCCAAGCUCAUGCUGAGUUUGAACGAUUGGCUCUUUGUCUGUCCUGAUUUAUUUAAAACCUGUCAGUAAAUAGUUAAAUGCAUCCUUUUUGGACCAAUUCUGUCUAUUUAAGCUGAUCACUCACUGGCCUUGGAGUGCCUUUAGUUCUGUGACUCAGUUCUUAUGACCAUUGUGAUAUCAUGUCUCCAUCAUGUUGAUGACCAGAGAUCCAGAUUUUACUUCCUUUCCUGUUUUUCUGGUGUUUCAGUGAGGCAGAUGUUUGUGUGACAGGAUCCACUGUUACCACUGUGUUUCUUUCUCCUUCAUGCGUCACAGUGAAA
Molecule: RNA transcript, 8630 nt
Organism: Oreochromis niloticus (Nile tilapia)
Lineage: Eukaryota; Metazoa; Chordata; Actinopteri; Cichliformes; Cichlidae
Gene: rbfox3a
Gene name: RNA binding fox-1 homolog 3a
Exons: 3
Source: RefSeq, a predicted model, not a curated record